Long non-coding RNA from Polypterus senegalus (gray bichir), 283 nucleotides. RefSeq lists it as uncharacterized. The record is from RefSeq and is a predicted model, not a curated record. The transcript has 3 exons. NCBI's taxonomy places the organism in Eukaryota, Metazoa, Chordata, Cladistia, Polypteriformes, Polypteridae.
UGAGGCCCCAGGUCUGGUUUGGUGCUCCUUCUGUCACAACUGGAGGUCCAGGGUGAGACACCACCUUCUGGUGGAUCUGCUUACCCAAGAUGAGUCAGGAGGGUGAUCCACAAACACAGCCCUGUUUCCUCUAUGUGGAAUUCAAGGAGUUGAAGUUGCCUAACAAUGCAGCUAGGCAACUGUCCCAGCAGCUGUUUAAAGAGACACUGAAAAUCAUCUGCUUCAGCAUUAUUUCGUUUGGUUUCCCGCAUUUCACUUUUGAUUUUGUUUGGAGAUGUUUUGG